This 74-nucleotide small nucleolar RNA is filed under the name Xenopus laevis (African clawed frog). Its description in RNAcentral is "U27 small nucleolar RNA (snord27)". It matches the Rfam family "Small nucleolar RNA SNORD27". From Rfam's summary of the family: U27 is a member of the C/D class of snoRNA which contain the C (UGAUGA) and D (CUGA) box motifs. U27 is encoded within the U22 snoRNA host gene (UHG) in mammals and is thought to act as a 2'-O-ribose methylation guide for ribosomal RNA. Lineage: Eukaryota; Metazoa; Chordata; Amphibia; Anura; Pipidae. The record is from RNAcentral.
UGUCAAUGAUGAAUAAAAUACAGACAAGCAUAUGUCUGAAUCUUAUGUGUUGCCAUCUUAAUUUUCUGAGAAAC